ACGGGACUAGCUCAGUUGGUUAGAGCGUCGGUCUCCAAAACCGGCUGUCGGGAGUUCGAAUCUCUCGUCCCGUG
This 74-nucleotide transfer RNA is filed under the name Bacteroidales bacterium OttesenSCG-928-I14. Its description in RNAcentral is "tRNA-Trp". It matches the Rfam family "tRNA". From Rfam's summary of the family: Transfer RNA (tRNA) molecules are approximately 80 nucleotides in length. Lineage: Bacteria; Pseudomonadati; Bacteroidota; Bacteroidia; Bacteroidales. The record is from RNAcentral.